This 253-nucleotide ribosomal RNA is filed under the name uncultured Rikenellaceae bacterium. RNAcentral's name for it is "partial 16S ribosomal RNA". It matches the Rfam family "Bacterial small subunit ribosomal RNA", at positions 524 to 776 of the family's 1533-position model. Lineage: Bacteria; Pseudomonadati; Bacteroidota; Bacteroidia; Bacteroidales; Rikenellaceae. The record is from RNAcentral.
UACGGAGGAUCCGAGCGUUAUCCGGAUUCAUUGGGUUUAAAGGGUGCGUAGGUUGUUUUAUAAGUUAGCGGUGAAAUACCGAUGCUCAACAUCGGGGCUGCCGCUGAUACUGUAGGACUAGAGAUCGGAUGCAGCAGGCGGAAUGUGUAGUGUAGCGGUGAAAUGCAUAGAUAUUACACAGAACACCGAUUGCGAAGGCAGCUUACCAAGCUACUUCUGACGUUGAGGCACGAAAGCGUGGGGAGCAAACAGG